Molecule: ribosomal RNA, 253 nt
Filed under: uncultured bacterium
Lineage: Bacteria
Description: partial 16S ribosomal RNA
Rfam family: Bacterial small subunit ribosomal RNA
Source: RNAcentral
UACGGAGGAUCCAAGCGUUAUCCGGAAUCAUUGGGUUUAAAGGGUCCGUAGGCGGUUUGGUAAGUCAGUGGUGAAAGCCCAUCGCUCAACGGUGGAACGGCCAUUGAUACUGCCAGACUUGAAUUAUUAGGAAGUAACUAGAAUAUGUAGUGUAGCGGUGAAAUGCUUAGAUAUUACAUGGAAUACCAAUUGCGAAGGCAGGUUACUACUAAUGGAUUGACGCUGAUGGACGAAAGCGUGGGGAGCGAACAGG